This 253-nucleotide ribosomal RNA is filed under the name uncultured bacterium. RNAcentral's name for it is "partial 16S ribosomal RNA". It matches the Rfam family "Bacterial small subunit ribosomal RNA", at positions 524 to 776 of the family's 1533-position model. The record is from RNAcentral.
UACGGAGGGAGCUAGCGUUGUUCGGAAUUACUGGGCGUAAAGCGCACGUAGGCGGCUUUGUAAGUUAGAGGUGAAAGCCCGGGGCUCAACUCCAGAAUUGCCUUUAAGACUGCAUCGCUCGAAUCCGGGAGAGGUGAGUGGAAUUCCGAGUGUAGAGGUGAAAUUCGUAGAUAUUCGGAAGAACACCAGUGGCGAAGGCGGCGCACUGGACCGGUAUUGACGCUGAGGUGCGAAAGCGUGGGGAGCAAACAGG